UUAUGAUGUGAAUUUGUAGCCCAACACGUGUAACCCAACUAUCAAUUCGCCGUUUGAUUUCUCUUGCUACAUCCGACACUGGUGAAAAGCUCUCUGCACAGCCCUCUUCUUCAAACGGCUCUUCGCUUAAUAUCUCUGCUCUCUCAUUCCUCCCCUCUGUCUACUGAUAUUUCCUACUGGUUAAUCUUCUUCUCAUCUUGUGUUUCUUGCAUUGAUUUGUUUCAAUCGCUGGCAAUAUGCUAGGUAUUUGUGUUUUCCCCUAAAUAGCGAGGGGAUUCCUGCAGACAAAGUGAGACAUGUUAAUAAAUUUUGUUCUCUAGGUGUUUGACAAAAUUCUUCAAUCAGGUUCUCAGUUAGAUUUCGUAUGCAUGGUCCAUUCUACUGUUUUCUCUGGUUUCAUUUUGAGUUAGGGCAUUUUGACGCGCGAAUAGGAAAUCUCUGCCUGACAUUGCAAGAAGUUUCAUUAGCUUAUUUAGUGGUGUUUUUGAGUUGAAAGCUUUCUUUCUGUCUCCGUUUUAGAUAGUCAUCAAGAUUGAUUUUCCUUUGCUUAAGAAAUAAUUUUGGUUUACUAACAGAGAUAUCCCGAGCGGCAGUGCCGCAAGGUUUGAAAUUCAUGUAUUAUGUAGAUAGCUCUGCAAUUUGGAUCCUUCUUUAGCUACUAUUAUUUUGGUAUAUUUUUACCAACAAAGCGGACAUCAUUUAAUAAAAAUUUACAAUGUUUGAAUCGAUUGAAACAAUAAUUAUUUUACUGCUUAGCCGGAAAAUCUUUAACAUCCUGCUAUAAAUUUGAUCAAUUAAAGCGAAUUCCCUUUCCUUUCUUCUGGAUACCGUGAAACCUUUGUUGUCAAAUAAAAUCGAAAUAGUGACUAAAUGCAGUACUUGUGAUAUUCGAAUUUGACACUUGCCUCCUACCUCCAUGACAGAGGCGCAAUAUGUUUCUUCUUUUUUAGUUUCUCUUGAUGAUAUGUGGCCUCUAAACUAAGUUAUCUAUUGUAUGUUAAUAUAAGAUAUAUACUCACUGACUCUUUGGAUGGUUUAUCGAACGACUAGGUAAUAUAAUUUAAUUAGCAAUGGAUGUAUAACAUCAUGUUAACUGUUCACCUUACAAUACAAACUGUAAACAAACUAUCAAAUAAUAUUUUAACGUAUCUAAAUAUGUGCACUUAUACAAUUUCGUUGAUCAUUUUAUAUCGAUUAAAAAAAAUCUAUCUGAUAAAUUAAAAAGGAUAUGAUUAACACAACAAACUUCCCUUAUCUUCUGUGCUUUUAGCACUACUUCUGACAUUGUAUAAAAUCAUUGAAUAUAAAAUAUUUGAAACUUUCUUUUCAGGAUAAAUACACAAAGGAAAAGUUUUUACCUGUUGCAAUGCAUGUACGCCGUCUCCUUGCUUGUUCUUCUGUCUGUUUUCUUGAAAAUGUGGGGAUGUGUUGCAUAUACAUAGCUUGAAGGAGGAGGAUUUAGCUUCACAGGUGUGAAGUUAUUCUUCUCUGUUACGAUAAAAUUGCUUUUUAUCCACCAAUGUCUUCUCCUAUUUCGUACAAUAAUAUUGAUAAUGUAUAUGACAUUGUUAAAGAGUUUGUUUUUAUUAGUAAUCUAGCUGAAAGGAUUAAAGUAUUUCGGUGUUACAAUAUUAAUUGCAGUAUUUCUUCGUACAACAAAACCUUACUAUCUGGUGUGAUUAUCUUUGAACCUUACCAAGAUUAGAUAAAAUACAUGUUGUUGUCUCAAAUGAAGUGCUUGCGUGUGACGUCAAUGAUACAUUAGAGCUUCUAAAAUACUAUAUCUUUAAUCAAUUACUAUUUUGGAGAUUUUACAUAGUAGAAGAACAUAAUAAUUCCAAUUAAUACUUUAUUAUUUUGCACUUUUGGUUUAUUUUAUAGUGAACUAUUUUUAAUUUGGAAAUCAUUUGAAUUGACUUAUUGGAAUAUGGGGUAUCUUGGAUUUUGCUUAUUGUGUUUACUUUUGGCUGCUUGUAGAUUUGUCACUGUGAGACUUUAAGUACUCAAAACUCCGAAUUCACAUACAAGUAAAAGAUAAUUGCAAUGGGUAGCCAAUUUGAUCCUUACGCUUUCGCUUUUUCUGCGGCUGAGGUUCUUUUACUUCUCUAUCCACACUGAUAUUUCUUAGCUUUUUAAAAAAAAUUCUCAUUUUCUCUUCACACAAUCAAAUUGAUGAAAUUUUCAUCUGAUUUUCUAUUUGACUUAUGCUUUCAAAGGAUAUUUGUGCUCUAUAUUUCUUAGAUUUUGUUUCAUUUCCUCUUACCAUUGUGGUUACAUAGAAGUAUCAGUUUCAGUGCAAAUAAAUAUUGCACCUAUAUUUUUCCAAACCCAUGCCUAUUGUCACUAAAGAUAAAAGAGUAGUGGGUACAGCAGGUAAUUUAUAUGCACUAACUUAAAAAUCCAAGAUCUGCUUCUAUUUUCAAUACAAAUCACCUUUUAGUAAUUUCACUUUAUUUUGUGCUGUUUCAUGCUCUUAAGUAAUGCCAAAACGGUGAACUUUAUUUUCUUGUUUCUCGCUUGUGCAGUUGGAGCUUUUUCAGAAGAUGAUACGGCUGAAGUUAUGCCAAACAUGAGAAUGGAACCUCUCAAUCUUGUAUAUAAAUAGCAACACAGGUGCCUCUUUGGGUUAGCAGUUGCUGUUAAGAAACAAAGGAAAAUGUACUAUCAGACCUCCUGAAUCCAUGUCCAUUGAUGAGAAUGCGCGCAGUUCAAGAAAGCCGGAUAGCUCUAACACGGGCAGGGAAAUGAAGAAAACCAAAGUUGAUCAGUAGCUGGCAAAGUUGAUCAGUAGCUGGCUUGACACAUAGAGAGAGAAAUUUCAGGCAGUUCUAUGAUUUACAGGAACUAAGAUUUUGUUGGUGAUCUCUUGUGCAUAGUUAAGGUUUAGAUUCAGUGACAAUGACAUUAAACACUAAGCUUUUGCAGAACACUUUAAAUUACAUGUCUUCUCAAAUACUUGAUUCAGAAGAAAGAUAAAACAUCUAUACUUCAUUUUAUUGUUGCUGAAAUUUAAAAACUUUUCAACCUCUUUGCAAUU
Nicotiana attenuata is the source of this 3037-nucleotide long non-coding RNA. RefSeq lists it as uncharacterized. NCBI's taxonomy places the organism in Eukaryota, Viridiplantae, Streptophyta, Magnoliopsida, Solanales, Solanaceae. The record is from RefSeq and is a predicted model, not a curated record. The transcript has 3 exons.